GUUAUCCCACAGAAUUUUAACAUUAAAUUUGUGUAACCGAGGAAUAGUUUAUUAUGAAAGGAAUAACAUUUUCCAUGCUGCACUCCUCGUUCUCACUAGUGCUGACUGCUAAGACUGGAAAGCAGAACCUAUCUCUUCUACAAGCAAGAAAUUCAUCUCUUUUUUUCCCCUCUCCUUGGGAGGGAAUCUUGAAACAUUUACACAAAUAGAGGGUCCUUGAUCAACAUUGCACUUUUUUCUU
This 241-nucleotide unclassified non-coding RNA is filed under the name Hevea brasiliensis (rubber tree). Lineage: Eukaryota; Viridiplantae; Streptophyta; Magnoliopsida; Malpighiales; Euphorbiaceae. The record is from RNAcentral.